Molecule: long non-coding RNA, 1651 nt
Filed under: Carassius auratus (goldfish)
Lineage: Eukaryota; Metazoa; Chordata; Actinopteri; Cypriniformes; Cyprinidae
Description: lncRNA (ENSCARG00000050017.1)
Source: RNAcentral
GCACACCAAAUGGAUGCACACCAAGACUGAACAUGCUCCACUUGCAAAAUGGAGUGUAUCGAACCAUUGGCAGGAUGAUAUCUACAAUAAUAGUGCAGUGUAGUGUAGUGGACUACAUUGUGUCUGGGGACAUCCUUCAAGUUCACGUGCCACCUGAUGACAUAGGUGACCCUGAUUUAAGGGAAAACCUCAAUAAGGUUCAACAAGCAACCUUGCAGGAUGAUUUGGAGAAAGCAGUCAGCUGCUGUGACUCAUGGCGAUAUCAAGUAGAAGGGCUUCCACUCGUAGUCACCAUGGCCAACAGAGAUGUGUUUGUGAAAAAUGCAGUUCUAUACCAUACUGUUGUGCAACGGCAGAGCUGUCUUGAUCAACUCACUGAUGGCUUGUCUCACUAUGGAGUUUUAUCACUCCUGAGAGAGAACCCCAGCUUGCGUGUGCUGCUUAACAUACCAGGAGAGAACAAAGGUCAAGAAGCUGAUUUUGUAGCUGGUAUUCUCAAACCAAGCUACUCCGUACUGGGGAGCAACAGAAGAGCUAAGGAGGAGUUGAUAGUGGUCAAAUUUAGGGAGUUUCUCCAAUGUGUUGAAAAUAAAGAGCUGAGAUACACUUAUGGGGACAGGACAGGAUGAUGAGGAGGCAUUCCUGAAGACUUUGAGCCCUGGUCACAUCCUGUUUUCUUACAAAAAAUGUUUACAUCUGUGAGGACUAUCUGACCCUUCUUUAUACUGUAAGAUGUUGUACUGUAUGAUUGGAAGGAUAUGGAAAUCAGUCAUCGCAGUAAUAAUAAAUUAAUAAAUGUAGUUACUUUAACCCUGUGAUGUGUUUUUUUUAACAAUGAUUGUAUGAAUUUAACUACAAUCGUUUUUUUUUUUUUUUUUACAUAUACUGAAUCAGUAGUGAAGGAAUAAAAUAUGUACAUUUACUAUAGUAAGGUACUUCUGUAGAAAUUUGAACUACUUUUCACAUUUAAAUUUUGAAUUCCCCUCCUCACCAUUGAAAGGCUUGUAUAUUCAGAUUUAUUGCUGUUGAAUAUUUUGUGCUAAACUGAAGAUUGUAUUUUCAUAUGUUGAAAAAAAUUCACUUCACUUGACAAAACCUUUUGGAUUAGCUGCAAAAUGCAAAAAUGUUUUUUUCUUACCUUUAUGUACAGCCAUCUUCUCAGAAAUACAUAACAAAGAUACAAGUUAUGUAUGUAAUACACAAGAUAUUAUAAAACACUGACAGUUAUCUUUUUACUUCACUGAGUACUUUUACUUUGCAUAUUUAGGUACUUUAAAAUCAGGAACAAUGUAGUGGAAGACAGUUAUGCAUCAAUACAUCUAUAGAGCCCUGAAAAGCAUGUCACUGUUCCUUCACAUAACAUGAGUCCUCUUGUAUUUAUCCACACUACCAUUGCUUUAGACUUGACAGAAAACUAACAGAUGUAAAAGUAUGUCUGUAGCCUUUUUAACACUGACAUCAUAUAAGUGCCAUCAUGUAAUUUUCUAAAAUCUAUAUGCUGACAAGAGGCUGUAAAUCUUGUAGUUCAAGAAGCACAACAAAACAUCAGUAUUUGUUUCACAGUGUACUUUUGAAAGUCCAAUAAGGCUAAUGUUACCCAGUUGUCCAUGUCAUGCUAAGAUCACACAUUUACAAGUUUUUCAAAAAUAAA